GGGACUCGGGGAUGACAGCCUGUUUGCUUAACACGCUUUUUAGAAGACAUGCUUGCAAGCUAUUAGUUAGCUUCCUUCUUCCCUCCCUGUCCCCACCACCCUAACCGCUCCUCACACUGUAAUUUGGCAGCGGCUGCUUGCAGGCCUGCUGUGCGCUUGGUCCCUGACUGACUCAGAUGCAGAUGGCAGCAGAGGCAGCCACAGGAAGUGGGAUGCAGCCUGUCACCUCUGAGACUGGCUUGUGCUUGUCAACCUCGCUGUGGACCCUGUGAGGCUACAGAUCAGGACUGACUGCAUCAGAAUGGCGGUUCAAAAUGGCUGAAUAACCUCCCUACCACAGUUGGGAAGACAAGAAAUUGUGCCCACGCAGCCAUCAAGCAGUCCAAUUAUAUUUUUUCACUUCAUUCCGCAAAAAUAAGAAAAAGAAAGAAAAAGAAAGAAAAAAAGCCAGCCAGCCUUGAGCUGUCUUGAAAACUCUUUGAAGUGUAGAUUUUGCGUUAAAGCUACAUCUUGUAGCUGUAGGAUGGGGCAGUGGGAAGAGAAAGGAGUGAGGAAGGGUACCAGAAGUUUGGCAAAAUGGGAUCAGGUGACCAUCUGUUUGACUGCAAGACACGAGAAAAAAGGCUAAGCCAUAAGAGUUAGUGACACAUGAGAGAAGAGGGGAGGAAUUGCCUGGAACAGCAACGUCCACAGGUCAUUUUCUCCAGAUCCCCAGGACAACAAGAAAGGAGUCAUAGACCUGGGUUCAAGCCCUGGCUAAGCCACUUACUUUUGACCGUGACCCUGAUGAAGCCAGUGACUCUCAAACUUGAGCACCAUCGGAAUCACCCUGGAGCGCUUGUUCAAACACAGAUUUCUGGUCUUACCUCCAGGGUCGCCGAUUCUGUGGGUCUGGACUGAGGCCUGAGAAUUUGCAUUGCUAAUAAUUUCUGGGUAAAAAGAAAAUAAUCAUGGGCUUAGGGUCUGCUGGGAUUUGAAGGAUCUUGUGAAUUCAACCCUCUCCCUCUGUAGAUGAGGAAACCGAGGCUCAGAAAACAAGAUGGCGACCGGCAGAAGUGGCUGGCAUGUGUUCUGGGCUGGCCCUCUAAAGAAGCUGAAGACUGGGCCCAACCUACAACAACCAACAAGAAUGCCAACAGAUCAGCGACCACGUGGGCAAGCUGCAGUGGUGCCUGACCCCCUACACAGACCUUCAGAGUCAAUUGCUGCUGCUUCCUGUCUGCUUUCCAAAUCUCAGACAAAUUACCUUGUGACCCACCCUAACUCAGGACGAGGCAGGGAAGGGAAUUCUGAGAAACGUAGUUCCAGCUUGGCUUAAUUUACCCUACGGAACCACCACACACGGUGACAAUUAUUUUACAGACAUUAUUUCAUUUGUCUUCAAAGCAACCUCCUAUGGCAAGAGCUCGAGUUUACAGGUGGGGAAACGAAGGUUUCAGAGGCUACAUAACUUGUCUAAGAUAUAAACUUGCUUAAUGUGCAAGGGGUUUUGAAGUCAGAUCUCUGUGACAUUAAACCUGUGUUCUCACCCCUGCAUGACAGUAUACACUGAUUUUUCUCUAAGUGUUCCUCUGUCUACUCUCAUGGAAACUGUCACUGGCAUAAGUAAAAGGCUUCACACAGACUGCUCUAGGCAUAUCAGACACCCCAGAUGCUUUUCUCACCUUUCCUCAUUCCCUAGACCAGAGCUUCCUCGCUGAGGAGCUGCCAUUAGAUCAUAGGCCUGCUGGGGAUAGGCCUGGGGCAGGCGGAGCCCCUGUGAAGGUCACCUCCAGCUCUUGGCAACCUCAUGGGUUUACCCCAGUGGGUGCCAUGACGUGAAGGCCGGGGAGCAUUAGUAUGGUCUCCCAGGACAUACCUCACCUCACAGGGGUGGAAUUUACCAUCCUCUGGGAAAUGAACCUAAGAGAACUUAUGUGCAGCCUGUUAGCGUGAGAGAUACUGGCUGGAGCCUGCGGAGGAGGAAGUCUUCACGUGACACUGUCAAACUCCCGGCAGGCAGACAGGUGUCUUGGUUUUGAUUUUCGUUUUAUAAACAU
Molecule: long non-coding RNA, 2039 nt
Organism: Equus caballus (horse)
Lineage: Eukaryota; Metazoa; Chordata; Mammalia; Perissodactyla; Equidae
Source: Ensembl